This 352-nucleotide long non-coding RNA is filed under the name Lonchura striata (white-rumped munia). RNAcentral's name for it is "domestica (Bengalese finch) lncRNA (ENSLSDG00000008652.1)". The record is from RNAcentral. Lineage: Eukaryota; Metazoa; Chordata; Aves; Passeriformes; Estrildidae.
CGCGCCGGAGCGGGAGCGCGGGGCGCGCUCGGACGCCGCCACACGGGGCCCCUCAGCGGCCGCCAGCGCCCCGGCAGACCCAGGUUUGAAUAUCCUCUGCAAUCAACACCAGAAAAGGGGCAUUCCAGGUCUUCAAAAGAUGAAACUCUGCAGGUUCUUCAUGUUCAGCAGGUGGCAGAAGUGGAAUUAUCGCACAAACAAACUCCAGGAGCUAAAAGUGUUGAUGCUUCAGAUAAUGCUGAGUGUGAAGAAAAAAAUACCAAUGAAAAUAAACAAACUCCAGAGAAAAAUCUUCCCGAAGCUUUCCCUGUCAAACUCCAAACACCCAAAUCUUCACAGAGAAUUCAUCGUG